GAGCAAGAAGGGUUUAAAGAUCCUCUCUUCCUAUUCGAUGGGGUGCUCUUAUGGCAUGUAGGGGUGCCAUAUGAUUAGAUCCCAUGAAGAAGAAUGCGAAAGAAAGAACUUACUUUUCUGCAAAAUUUUAGAUCUUGAAAUCUUAGAUUUGUUGUAUAUGAUACAAAGUUGUAUGAAAUGUAAGACAUCUAAUCUAUGUGAUUAAAAUUAUUUUAAUCAUGAAAAAAUAAAAUCUUGAAUCAUAAAAAAUUUUAGAUAUAAUCUAAAAAUAUUAUGAUUGAUUUUAUUUUAAUAUUAUAUAAAAAUUUUCAGAUCUGAACUUUUUGAAUCAUGCUCACACAAUUACUGAGCUAAUCCAGUUUUAAACUAAGUUGACU
Molecule: long non-coding RNA, 377 nt
Filed under: Elaeis guineensis (African oil palm)
Lineage: Eukaryota; Viridiplantae; Streptophyta; Magnoliopsida; Arecales; Arecaceae
Description: long non-coding RNA (EGUI_LNC052038)
Source: RNAcentral